Molecule: ribosomal RNA, 495 nt
Filed under: uncultured bacterium
Lineage: Bacteria
Description: partial 16S ribosomal RNA
Rfam family: Bacterial small subunit ribosomal RNA
Source: RNAcentral
GAUGAACGCUGGCGGCGUGCUUAACACGUGCAAGUCGAACGAAGCACCUCUCCCGAAGCUUGACACAGCUUGCUGUAGAUUGAUUCAUUUGAGGUGACUGAGUGGCGGACGGGUGAGUAACGCGUGGGUAACCUGCCUCAUAGAGGGGGACAACAGUUGGAAACGACUGCUAAUACCGCAUAGUAAGAAGAAUUCGCAUGUUUUCUUCUUGAAAGAUUUAUCGCUAUGAGAUGGACCCGCGUCUGAUUAGCUAGUUGGUAAGGUAACGGCUUACCAAGGCGACGAUCAGUAGCCGGCUUGAGAGAGUGAACGGCCACAUUGGGACUGAGACACGGCCCAAACUCCUACGGGAGGCAGCAGUGGGGAAUAUUGCACAAUGGGGGAAACCCUGAUGCAGCGACGCCGCGUGAGUGAAGAAGUAUUUCGGUAUGUAAAGCUCUAUCAGCAGGGAAGAUAAUGACGGUACCUGACUAAGAAGCCCCGGCUAACUACGUG